GAACGGCAGCAUGAUCUAGCUUGCUAGAUUGAUGGCGAGUGGCGAACGGGUGAGUAAUACAUCGGAACGUGCCCUGUAGUGGGGGAUAACUAGUCGAAAGAUUAGCUAAUACCGCAUACGACCUGAGGGUGAAAGUGGGGGACCGCAAGGCCUCAUGCUAUAGGAGCGGCCGAUGUCUGAUUAGCUAGUUGGUGAGGUAAAGGCUCACCAAGGCGACGAUCAGUAGCUGGUCUGAGAGGACGAUCAGCCACACUGGGACUGAGACACGGCCCAGACUCCUACGGGAGGCAGCAGUGGGGAAUUUUGGACAAUGGGGGCAACCCUGAUCCAGCAAUGCCGCGUGUGUGAAGAAGGCCUUCGGGUUGUAAAGCACUUUUGUCCGGAAAGAAAUCGCACUUACUAAUAUUAGGUGUGGAUGACGGUACCGGAAGAAUAAGGACCGGCUAACUACGUGCCAGCAGCCGCGGUAAUACGUAGGGUCCAAGCGUUAAUCGGAAUUACUGGGCGUAAAGCGUGCGCAGGCGGUUGUGCAAGACCGAUGUGAAAUCCCCGGGCUUAACCUGGGAAUUGCAUUGGUGACUGCACGGCUAGAGUGUGUCAGAGGGGGGUAGAAUUCCACGUGUAGCAGUGAAAUGCGUAGAGAUGUGGAGGAAUACCGAUGGCGAAGCAGCCCCUCUGGGAUAACACUGACGCUCAUGCACGAAAGCGUNGGGAGCANACAGGAUUAGAUANCCCUGGUAGUCCACGCCCUAAACGAUGUCAACUAGUUGUUGGGGAUUCAUUUCCUUAGUAACGUAGCUAACGCGUGAAGUUGACCGCCUGGGGAGUACGGUCGCAAGAUUAAAACUCAAAGGAAUUGACGGGGACCCGCACAAGCGGUGGAUGAUGUGGAUUAAUUCGAUGCAACGCGAAAAACCUUACCUACCCUUGACAUGCCACUAACGAAGCAGAGAUGCAUUAGGUGCUCGAAAGAGAAAGUGGACACAGGUGCUGCAUGGCUGUCGUCAGCUCGUGUCGUGAGAUGUUGGGUUAAGUCCCGCAACGAGCGCAACCCUUGUCUCUAGUUGCUACGAAAGGGCACUCUAGAGAGACUGCCGGUGACAAACCGGAGGAAGGUGGGGAUGACGUCAAGUCCUCAUGGCCCUUAUGGGUAGGGCUUCACACGUCAUACAAUGGUGCAUACAGAGGGUUGCCAAGCCGCGAGGUGGAGCUAAUCCCAGAAAAUGCAUCGUAGUCCGGAUCGUAGUCUGCAACUCGACUACGUGAAGCUGGAAUCGCUAGUAAUCGCGGAUCAGCAUGCCGCGGUGAAUACGUUCCCGGGUCUUGUACACACCGCCCGUCACACCAUGGGAGUGGGUUUUGCCAGAAGUAGUUAGCCUAACCGCAAGGGGGGCGAUUACCACGGCAGGGUUCAUGACUGGGGUGAAGUCGUAACAAGGUAUC
RNAcentral lists this ribosomal RNA (1443 nucleotides) under uncultured Ralstonia sp. RNAcentral describes it as "bacterial SSU rRNA". It matches the Rfam family "Bacterial small subunit ribosomal RNA". Lineage: Bacteria; Pseudomonadati; Pseudomonadota; Betaproteobacteria; Burkholderiales; Burkholderiaceae. The record is from RNAcentral.